Molecule: ribosomal RNA, 472 nt
Filed under: uncultured bacterium
Lineage: Bacteria
Description: bacterial SSU rRNA
Rfam family: Bacterial small subunit ribosomal RNA
Source: RNAcentral
ACCCAGACUCCUACGGGAGGCAGCAGUGGGGAAUAUUGCACAAUGGGCGCAAGCCUGAUGCAGCCAUGCCGCGUGUAUGAAGAAGGCCUUCGGGUUGUAAAGUACUUUCAGCGGGGAGGAAGGCGAUAAGGUUAAUAACCUUGUCGAUUGACGUUACCCGCAGAAGAAGCACCGCCUAACUCCGUGCCAGCAGCCGCGGUAAUACGGAGGGUGCAAGCGUUAAUCGGAAUUACUGGGCGUAAAGCGCGCGCAGGCGGUCUGUCAAGUCGGAUGUGAAAUCCCCGGGCUCAACCUGGGAACUGCAUUCGAAACGGGCAGGCUGGAGUCUUGUAGAGGGGGGUAGAAUUCCAGGGGUAGCGGGGAAAUGCGUAGAGAUCUGGAGGAAAGCAGGUGGCGAAGGCGGCCCCCUGGACAAAGACUGACGCUCAGGUGCGAAAGCGUAGGGAGCAAACAGGAUUAGAUACCCCUGUAC